GCGCUCGUAGCUCAGCGGAUAGAGCGUCGGCCUGCGGAGCCGAAGGCCGGGAGUUCAAGUCUCCCCGAGCGCACCA
Molecule: transfer RNA, 76 nt
Filed under: Limnochordaceae bacterium
Lineage: Bacteria; Bacillati; Bacillota; Limnochordia; Limnochordales; Limnochordaceae
Also listed under: 1 other name
Description: tRNA-Arg
Rfam family: tRNA
About the family: Transfer RNA (tRNA) molecules are approximately 80 nucleotides in length.
Source: RNAcentral